This 74-nucleotide transfer RNA is filed under the name Cordylochernes scorpioides. Its description in RNAcentral is "tRNA-Thr". The record is from RNAcentral. Lineage: Eukaryota; Metazoa; Arthropoda; Arachnida; Pseudoscorpiones; Chernetidae.
GUCCAGGGAUGGGAAUUGAACCCACAGUUAUUCCGCUCACCAGGCAGAUGCCAUGUCCACUAGGCUACCCUGGA